GAUGAACGCUGGCGGCGUGCCUAAUACAUGCAAGUCGAGCGAACGGACGAGAAUCUUGCUUCUCUGAUGUUACCGGCGGACGGGUGAGUAACACGUGGAUAACCUACCUAUAAGGCUGGGAUAACUUCGGGAAACCGGAGCUAAUACCGGUUCAUAUUUUGAACCGCAUGGUUCAACAGUGAAAGACGGACUUGAUGUCCCUUAUAGAUGGAUCCGCGCUGCAUUAGCUAGUUGGUAAGGUAACGGCUUACCAAGGCAACGAUGCAUAGCCGACCUGAGAGGGUGAUCGGCCACACUGGAACUGAGACACGGUCCAGACUCCUACGGGAGGCAGCAGUAGGGAAUCUUCCGCAAUGGGCGAAAGCCUGACGGAGCAACGCCGCGUGAGUGAUGAAGGUCUUCGGAUCGUAAAACUCUGUUAGUAGGGAAGAACAUAUGUAUAAGUAACUGUGCACAUCUUGACGUUACCUAAUGAGAAAGCCACGGCUAACUACGUG
This 497-nucleotide ribosomal RNA is filed under the name uncultured bacterium. RNAcentral's name for it is "partial 16S ribosomal RNA". It matches the Rfam family "Bacterial small subunit ribosomal RNA", at positions 28 to 507 of the family's 1533-position model. The record is from RNAcentral.